UAACGGUUUCCGAGCAGUGCCGGGAGUGUU
RNAcentral lists this non-coding RNA (30 nucleotides) under Rattus norvegicus (Norway rat). The record is from RNAcentral. Lineage: Eukaryota; Metazoa; Chordata; Mammalia; Rodentia; Muridae.